AAGUGUUAAGCUCUUUUAGAAUUUGUCUAGCAGUCUCUCCGGUCUGCACCAGAAAGCCCCC
RNAcentral lists this small nuclear RNA (61 nucleotides) under Camelus bactrianus (Bactrian camel). RNAcentral describes it as "U7 small nuclear RNA". It matches the Rfam family "U7 small nuclear RNA". Rfam says of the family: Animal histone pre-mRNAs are spliced by a different mechanism than nuclear pre-mRNAs and self-splicing introns. This processing involves the U7 snRNP, which contains only one RNA species: U7. The 5' end of U7 RNA is thought to base-pair to a conserved spacer element downstream of the cleavage site in histone pre-mRNA. The record is from Rfam by way of RNAcentral. Lineage: Eukaryota; Metazoa; Chordata; Mammalia; Artiodactyla; Camelidae. RNAcentral also lists the same sequence under 1 other name.